RNAcentral lists this unclassified non-coding RNA (1630 nucleotides) under Hevea brasiliensis (rubber tree). The record is from RNAcentral. Lineage: Eukaryota; Viridiplantae; Streptophyta; Magnoliopsida; Malpighiales; Euphorbiaceae.
AAGUCCAAGUCAAGCUCAAAAGGGGUAAAAUUUCUUUUGUCAUUUGGCUGGUUAAAUGUAUCUGGAUUCUGGAAUAUCAACUAUCUACUAUCAUUGUUAUAAGUGCCAAGGUCACAUAGGUGUCUUGGUCCUUAGAAUCUGAUUGUGUAGUGGAUCAGGUUAAAUUUUAAGACUUGGGUCCUCGGUUCUGACUCAAUAAUAACUUAAAUCAUUUAUCAAUAACUCAAUGUAACAUUUUGCUUGUUCAAUUUUCAUUCUUAUAAUUGUAUAUUCCUUUUUCUUUGGCUUUGUUUGAUAUGUGAAUUGGGUUAUAAAAUUUAUCAGGUGAGUGCAUUUCCUCUCUCGAGACUCCUUUUUAGGUUUCAUCAUUAUAAAUUGACUAUAAUGGCAUGCAGUAGCAGCAGGGGUAGAACUAAAGAAAAUGUUCGUUUUUUUCGGUGGGGGGAGGGUACGGUGGGGUUGGGGGAUGAUGUGGAGUAGUCAGUGGCUAUGUGGCACGGAAACGGAAAUGUGGACACAGGGAAACGCGGAAACGGACACUGGGAAACGGCAUUUUCAAAAAUAUAGAAACGUGGGGAAAUGAGUAAAUAUAAAAAAAAAAUAUAGGGAUAUAUCAGUAAAUUCAACUAUAUCAAAAAGAAAAACAAAAUCUAUUAAAAUGGGUCUGAUGGGUUUCAUAUUUUUGUCUUAGUUAUAUGAAAAUUAAGUGUUUCAGCCACACUUGCAUAAAGAAUCAAAGAAAAUAUAAAGUGAGAGCUAAAAGGUAUAGAUUAAAACAGUAGAAGAGGAUAUCAAUACCAGACACUUGACAAGGCAUAUUUGUUUACAUAAAAUGGAAAAAAAAAAUUGAAAAUUGGGCUUAUUUGAUUAAUGCCUGGUUUUAUAUUUGCUAAGGACAAACAGAUGUCAAAAAUUUUGCAGUGUCAAUUGUGACAAACACCUUUAAUCUAUUAUCCAUAUAAAUCUUGAAUUUUCUGUAUAAGUUAUCAUAACAUUAAAAUUGAGAUCAUUUGUUCUCUUUUCUCUCCUAAGCAUCAAAAGAGUUUUUGCCUUGAUCAAAUAUACAGAUAUGAUAAUAAAAGAAAAAUAAAGAAGAAUUCAACAAUUCAAUUUCAUUUGUAUGAAAAUUUUGAAAUUAGAAAAACGAUGUUGUCAUGAUUCAAUGGAACACAUUCACUUUUUCUUCUACUAAUCUUUCAUCUUUAGAAUUCAUCUGUUUGAGAAUAUAACUAAUAACAAAUUAUGAAUUUCAUUAUAAAUCACAACUAUAAAGUAUUGACUGAACUGAGCUACAUUAAAAACAUGGAAUAAAAUAAUGCAUGUGCAAAAGGAUUCAAAUAUAAAAUAAAAGUUUUAGGGGAAAAAGCAACAUAAGAUUUUGUUGCUCUAACCAAACUAGUAGCAAAUGAAUAAAUGAAUGACCUUAAAAGGUGAAGUUUUAUACACCGGUAGUCUGUUAUUGCUUAUUUCUUGCUGUCACAAUGAUUAUGAUCAUUACUAGCUAAUCACAACGAUUUCCAAACCAAUACUUCCUGUGUACCAAAAUCCAAAACAAAACUCCCUUAAAUUUGGUCCUAUGAUGCUUUGACAAAGAAAAAAAAAAAACCUUUUGGUAGACUUCCUCUUGCCA